GGAAACCGGAGCUAAUACCGGAUAAUAUAUUGAACCGCAUGGUUCAAUAGUGAAAGACGGUUUUGCUGUCACUUAUAGAUGGAUCCGCGCCGCAUUAGCUAGUUGGUAAAGUAACGGCUUACCAAGGCAACGAUGCGUAGCCGACCUGAGAGGGUGAUCGGCCACACUGGAACUGAGACACGGUCCAG
This 188-nucleotide ribosomal RNA is filed under the name uncultured Staphylococcus sp. Its description in RNAcentral is "partial 16S ribosomal RNA". It matches the Rfam family "Bacterial small subunit ribosomal RNA", at positions 152 to 334 of the family's 1533-position model. Lineage: Bacteria; Bacillati; Bacillota; Bacilli; Caryophanales; Staphylococcaceae. The record is from RNAcentral.